UACGUAGGCCCCAAGCGUUAUCCGGAAUUACUGGGUGUAAAGCGUCUGUAGGUGGAUUGUUAAGUCUUGUAUGAAAGACCGGGGCUCAACCCCGUGUUUGUAUAGGAUACUGGCAGACUAGAAUUAGGGAGAGGCAAGCAGAAUUAUGAGAGUAGGGGUGCAAUCCGUAGAUACUCAUAAGAAUACCAAAAGCGAAGGCAGCUUGCUGGAACUAUAUUGACACUGAGAGACGAAAGCGUGGGGAGCGAAAAGG
RNAcentral lists this ribosomal RNA (253 nucleotides) under uncultured bacterium. Its description in RNAcentral is "partial 16S ribosomal RNA". It matches the Rfam family "Bacterial small subunit ribosomal RNA", at positions 524 to 776 of the family's 1533-position model. The record is from RNAcentral.